Xenia sp. Carnegie-2017 is the source of this 359-nucleotide long non-coding RNA. RefSeq lists it as uncharacterized. The transcript has 3 exons. The record is from RefSeq and is a predicted model, not a curated record. NCBI's taxonomy places the organism in Eukaryota, Metazoa, Cnidaria, Anthozoa, Malacalcyonacea, Xeniidae.
CAUCAGUCAGAUAUAUUUUUCACACCCAACAUUCGUAUGAAUAUCAUUAUAGUAUGCAAAUGCUUGUUUUGUCAUUGCGUUGUUUUUUGUUUAUUGCAGCCGCAAAAAGACAACGUUGGAGAAAUCUCUGUCAAUGAGCACAAUGGACCGACUAACAAAACAUUAUCAGAAGAGAUUGAGAAUGUUUCUCACAAGACAAUGUCUCCGCUGUCAAGGAAUGAACAACGACAACUGGCAAUUCAAGCCUGUGAUAAACAAAAUGAAGAUUCUACGGUAGCUAUGUCAUCUUUAUUUUCUUGGCACGGACUUAUGGAUGGCGUUCUUAUUUCAAAUGACUUCAUAAAUUUUUCAGCCAGAGG